RNAcentral lists this ribosomal RNA (249 nucleotides) under uncultured Oscillospiraceae bacterium. RNAcentral describes it as "partial 16S ribosomal RNA". It matches the Rfam family "Bacterial small subunit ribosomal RNA", at positions 355 to 618 of the family's 1533-position model. Lineage: Bacteria; Bacillati; Bacillota; Clostridia; Eubacteriales; Oscillospiraceae. The record is from RNAcentral.
UGGGGAAUAUUGCGCAAUGGGGGGAACCCUGACGCAGCAACGCCGCGUGGAGGAAGAAGGUCUUCGGAUUGUAAACUCCUUUGAUGAGGGACGAAGUAAGUGACGGUACCUCAGGAACAAGCCACGGCUAACUACGUGCCAGCAGCCGCGGUAAUACGUAGGUGGCGCGCGUUGUCCGGAAUUACUGGGUGUAAAGGGCGUGUAGGCGGGUUAGCAAGUCAGAUGUGGAAUACCGGGGCUCCACUCCGG